RNAcentral lists this ribosomal RNA (519 nucleotides) under uncultured eukaryote. Its description in RNAcentral is "SSU rRNA". It matches the Rfam family "Eukaryotic small subunit ribosomal RNA", at positions 1161 to 1705 of the family's 1831-position model. The record is from RNAcentral.
AGGGCACCACCAGGAGUGGAGCCUGCGGCUUAAUUUGACUCAACACGGGAAAACUCACCCGGCCCGGACACCGUGAGGAUUGACAGAUUGAUAGCUUUUUCAUGAUUCGGUGGUUGGUGGUGCAUGGCCGUUCUUAGUUCGUGGAUCGAUUUGUCUGGUUUAUUCCGAUAACGAGCGAGACUCCAGCCUACUAACUAGUGCGAGCAUUGUCUCUGUGCUUGUCACUUCUUAGAGGGAUUGGCUGCGUCUAGCGGCACGAAACGGAGCAAUAACAGGUCUGUGAUGCCCUUAGAUGUCCGGGGCUGCACGCGCGCUACACUGGCAAAAGCAGCGUGCUUGUCCGCCUCCGAAAGGAGCCGGUAAACCCUUGAAAAUUUGCCGUGAUUGGGAUCGGAAAUUGCAAUUAUUUUCCGUGAACGAGGAAUUCCUAGUAAGUGCGAGUCAUCAGCUCGCGUUGAUUACGUCCCUGCCCUUUGUACACACCGCCCGUCGCUGCCUAGAACUGAGCCAUUUCGAGAA